RNAcentral lists this transfer RNA (65 nucleotides) under Pegomya bicolor. RNAcentral describes it as "tRNA-Asn". Lineage: Eukaryota; Metazoa; Arthropoda; Insecta; Diptera; Anthomyiidae. The record is from RNAcentral.
UUAAUUGAAGCCAAAAAGAGGCUUAUCACUGUUAAUGAUAGAACUGAAAGUUUAUUCCAAUUAAA